Molecule: ribosomal RNA, 460 nt
Filed under: uncultured bacterium
Lineage: Bacteria
Description: partial 16S ribosomal RNA
Rfam family: Bacterial small subunit ribosomal RNA
Source: RNAcentral
CCUACGGGAGGCAGCAGUGAGGAAUAUUGGUCAAUGGACGAGAGUCUGAACCAGCCAUGCAGCGUGAAGGAUGACUGCCCUAUGGGUUGUAAACUUCUUUUAUAUGGGAAUAAAAUGUUACACGUGUGGGCUUUUGAAUGUACUAUACGAAUAAGGAUCGGCUAACUCCGUGCCAGCAGCCGCGGUAAUACGGAGGAUCCGAGCGUUAUCCGGAUUUAUUGGGUUUAAAGGGAGCGUAGGUGGAUUGUUAAGUCAGUUGUGAAAUUUUCGGGCUCAACCGUAAAAUUGCAUUUGAUACUGUUGAUCUUGAGAACAGUAGAGGUGGGCGGAAUUCAUGGUGUAGCGGUGAAAUGCUUAGAGAUCACGAAGAACACCGAUUGCGAAGGCAGUUCACUGGACUACAACUGACGCUGAGGCGCGAAAGUGUGGGUAGCAAACAGGAUUAGAUACCCCAGUAGUC